AUUCACCUGACGAGUCCCAAACAGGACGAAACGCGCGUCCCGGAU
This 45-nucleotide non-coding RNA is filed under the name Schistosoma margrebowiei. Lineage: Eukaryota; Metazoa; Platyhelminthes; Trematoda; Strigeidida; Schistosomatidae. The record is from RNAcentral.